Molecule: long non-coding RNA, 596 nt
Organism: Haliotis rubra (blacklip abalone)
Lineage: Eukaryota; Metazoa; Mollusca; Gastropoda; Lepetellida; Haliotidae
Exons: 2
Source: RefSeq, a predicted model, not a curated record
CUGAGUCAUAUCGUUGUCGUCUUAUUCAACAGUGUUGCAUGGCCGACAGGUCACAUGACUAAGUUUGGAGCCAUUCUAACGGAACAACGCACGUCCUGUGAUAGCAUUUGUCGCUCUCUGUGAAUUACCUCCCUUGAUCCAAGAUGGCUAAUUGUGGGUGGCUGUGGAGUUUCAUCUGGUUCAUCAUCCUGAUUGUCUUUGGCUGGCCAAUUGGAUUCUUCUGUGCCGUCUUCUAUGUUCUGCUUAGUCCCUGUGCAGCCUGCUGUUCUGGAUGUGUAGAACUUAUAAAUUUAUUAGAGAGAGGUGUCAAACUACCCCUCACAUGCGCACAGAACAUGGUCAGUGGGAAGUCCAUGUGUUAGUCUGGAGAUCCAGGGCAUAAUGUGGCAAUUUGUAGAAGGAUGCUCACAUCUGUAGUCAAAUGAAUUCCAUCAACACAACAAGACAGUCCAAACAACAGACCAACACUGACCUCGCAAUCAUCAACAAUGUCAUCUCAGCCUGAUGAAUCAGUGAAGGAAGGAUUAGCAAUUUGACCGGACGGACCACCCAACUACAACCUUAGUGAAUGUUAGUCAUCAGUGUAGUCGAAGAUC